GGCCUCGUAGCGCACUGGUAGCGCAUCUGCAUGUCGUGGCACCCUGCCAACUCGUCAAUUCUACAGCAGACUUACAGCCUGUUCGAACCAGGUCGGGGCCA
Molecule: non-coding RNA, 101 nt
Organism: Crucibulum laeve
Lineage: Eukaryota; Fungi; Basidiomycota; Agaricomycetes; Agaricales; Nidulariaceae
Source: the annotation of a GenBank genome assembly